Molecule: ribosomal RNA, 321 nt
Filed under: uncultured bacterium
Lineage: Bacteria
Description: bacterial SSU rRNA
Rfam family: Bacterial small subunit ribosomal RNA
Source: RNAcentral
AGAGAUUGAAGCCGCNNGGCGGAUGUCGAUUUGUCCGGGGAUAUAGCGNCAGACUGGUGAGGAACACNUGAGUAAUAUACCUCCAAGUUGGGAAUANCCUUGCGAAAGUGAGGGUAAUACCCGAUGUGUUUACGGCGGCGCAAGCCGCUGCAAGUAAAGGUGCNCCGGCGAAAGCCGGGGUGCCGCUUGAAGAUUAGCUCGCGUCCUAUCAUCUAGUUGGUGGGGUAAUGGCCUACCAAGGCUUUUGACGGGUAGCUGGCCUGAGAGGGUGGUCAGCCACACGGGGACUGAGACACUGCCCCGACUCCUACGGGAGGCUGC